Molecule: ribosomal RNA, 886 nt
Filed under: uncultured bacterium
Lineage: Bacteria
Description: bacterial SSU rRNA
Rfam family: Bacterial small subunit ribosomal RNA
Source: RNAcentral
AGAGUUUGAUCAUGGCUCAGGACGAACGCUGGCGGCGUGCGUAAUACAUGCAAGUCGAGCGAGCUUGCCUAGAUGAUUUUAGUGCUUGCACUAAAUGAAACUAGAUACAAGCGAGCGGCGGACGGGUGAGUAACACGUGGGUAACCUGCCCAAGAGACUGGGAUAACACCUGGAAACAGAUGCUAAUACCGGAUAACAACACUAGGCGCAUGUCUAGAGUUUGAAAGAUGGUUCUGCUAUCACUCUUGGAUGGACCUGCGGUGCAUUAGCUAGUUGGUAAGGUAACGGCUUACCAAGGCAAUGACGCAUAGCCGAGUUGAGAGACUGAUCGGCCACAUUGGGACUGAGACACGGCCCAAACUCCUACGGGAGGCAGCAGUAGGGAAUCUUCCACAAUGGACGAAAGUCUGAUGGAGCAACGCCGCGUGAGUGAAGAAGGGUUUCGGCUCGUAAAGCUCUGUUGGUAGUGAAGAAAGAUAGAGGUAGUAACUGGCCUUUAUUUGACGGUAAUUACUUAGAAAGUCACGGCUAACUACGUGCCAGCAGCCGCGGUAAUACGUAGGUGGCAAGCGUUGUCCGGAUUUAUUGGGCGUAAAGCGAGUGCAGGCGGUUCAAUAAGUCUGAUGUGAAAGCCUUCGGCUCAACCGGAGAAUUGCAUCAGAAACUGUUGAACUUGAGUGCAGAAGAGGAGAGUGGAACUCCAUGUGUAGCGGUGGAAUGCGUAGAUAUAUGGAAGAACACCAGUGGCGAAGGCGGCUCUCUGGUCUGCAACUGACGCUGAGGCUCGAAAGCAUGGGUAGCGAACAGGAUUAGAUACCCUGGUAGUCCAUGCCGUAAACGAUGAGUGCUGAGUGUUGGGAGGUUUCCGCCUCUCAGUGCUGCAGCU